ACACCGGCAGCUCUAGUGGUAGCUGUUUUUAUUGGGCCUAAAGCGUUCGUAGCCGGUUUGGUAAGUCACUGGUGAAAUCCUGUAGCUUAACUAUGGGAAUUGCUGGUGAUACUGUUGAACUUGAGGUCGGGAGAGGUUAGCGGUACUCCCAGGGUAGAGGUGAAAUUCUGUAAUCCUGGGAGGACCACCUGUGGCGAAGGCGACUAACUGGAACGAACCUGACGGGGAGGGACGAAAGGUAGGGGCGCGAACCGGAUUAGAUACCCGGGUAGUCCUAGCCGUAAACGAUGCGGACUUGGUGUUGGGAUGGCUUUGAGCCGCUCCGGUGCCGAAGGGAAGCUGUUAAGUCCGCCGCCUGGGAGGUACGGUCGCAAGACUGAAACUUAAAGGAAUUGGCGGGG
Molecule: ribosomal RNA, 401 nt
Filed under: uncultured bacterium
Lineage: Bacteria
Description: partial 16S ribosomal RNA
Rfam family: Archaeal small subunit ribosomal RNA
Source: RNAcentral